RNAcentral lists this ribosomal RNA (313 nucleotides) under Nodipecten subnodosus. RNAcentral's name for it is "partial 12S ribosomal RNA". It matches the Rfam family "Bacterial small subunit ribosomal RNA", at positions 882 to 1341 of the family's 1533-position model. The record is from RNAcentral. Lineage: Eukaryota; Metazoa; Mollusca; Bivalvia; Pectinida; Pectinidae.
ACGAGCGAGUGCUUAAAACUCAAAGAACUUGGCGGCUUGUUAACUACCUAGGGGAAUAUGCGCCUUAAUCCGAUGGUCCCCGCAACAUCUUACUGGAUCUUGAAAAAGUGCAGUUGGUGUAUUGCCGUUGUCAGCUUGUUGUUCGAGCAAGGAAAACCAGGCUUAAUGGGUCUCUAGUGAUUAGGGUCACGAGAAUCCGCGAAUUCAGGUCGUAAUGCUGCCUACGGUCCAAGGGAGUGGGUAUUACAAUUUAUAUUUAAAAUUACGGAUCUUUAUUGUGAAACUUUAGGGAAGAAGGUGAACUUAGGAGUAA